CGUGUAGGCGGUUGGUCAAGUCUGGUGUGAAAGCCCGGGGCUUAGCUCCGGAAGUGCACUGGAAACUAGCCAACUUGAGCGCGAUAGAGGAGGGUGGAAUUCCUGGUGUAGCGGUGAAAUGCGUAGAGAUCAGGAGGAACACCGGUGGCGAAGGCGGCUUUCUGGGCUGUAACUGACGCUGAGGCGCGAAAGCGUGGGGAGCAAACAGGAUUAGAUACCCUGGUAGUCCACGCGGUAAACGAUGAUUACUAGGUGUAGGGGACGCAGGUCUUCUGUGCCGGAGCAAACGCAAUAAGUAAUCCGCCUGGGGAGUACGGCCGCAAGGUUGAA
RNAcentral lists this ribosomal RNA (330 nucleotides) under uncultured bacterium. Its description in RNAcentral is "bacterial SSU rRNA". It matches the Rfam family "Bacterial small subunit ribosomal RNA", at positions 568 to 898 of the family's 1533-position model. The record is from RNAcentral.